RNAcentral lists this small nuclear RNA (23 nucleotides) under Arabidopsis thaliana (thale cress). Its description in RNAcentral is "snRNA_03813". The record is from RNAcentral. Lineage: Eukaryota; Viridiplantae; Streptophyta; Magnoliopsida; Brassicales; Brassicaceae.
AAAGCUCGUUUGAUUCUGAUUUU